This is an RNA transcript of Aphis gossypii (cotton aphid), 3095 nucleotides long. It is a transcript of the gene named translocation protein SEC63 homolog, with no coding region annotated. Lineage: Eukaryota; Metazoa; Arthropoda; Insecta; Hemiptera; Aphididae. The transcript is spliced from 16 exons. The record is from RefSeq and is a predicted model, not a curated record.
CGGUGGGGACAUUGGACGUCAACCAUUGGUCAUCGUAGCGAUACGUCGUAUCACCAUCAAUAUAAUUUAUAGUGUGUACGUUUACACCUGGUAGUUUUUCUUUUUAUCGUCGAGAGAUUUACGUGACGUGUUACAAACGUUAAAGCGAUAUUAUAUUGCUAUCUUAGGGUUCCGUUAGGUCGACGUCGUAGGCCAAUAUUUUGAUUAUUCAAAUUAUGUAAAUUAACCCAUAACCGCACCAUGCUCCCGGAGUAAAUGUUCGAUUUAUGUACUACCCGAAACAACAAUAAUGGCCGGCCAAAAGUUUCAGUACGAUGAAAGCGGAGCUACGUUUUUCUAUUUUUUAUUGUCGUUUCUGGCUCUUCUGCUGGUACCCGGCACGUAUUACUGGUGGCCGAGAAAACAAAAAGAAGAUCCAAAAGCGUUGGCAUCUGAAUGUUAUUGUCCAGGAUGCCGAAAAAAAAAGCUUGUCCUGCAGUCCACUAAACCGUGGGAACUGAUGAAAAGAACAUGCAUAAAAGUCAUCAUUAUUGGUGGAUGGGUGUUAUUGGCUUUUCUUGCCUACAAAGUAUCCCAGUUUGAUUAUGAGAGUGCAAGUUUUGAUCCAUAUGACAUUCUCAAUGUUCCAAUUGGAACUAGUGAAAAAGUAAUUAAAAAAGCUUAUAGAAGGUUGUCAUUAAUUUACCAUCCAGAUAAGGAAACUGGAGAUGAAAAAAAAUUUAUGAAGCUUACUAAAGCUUAUCAAGCCUUAACUGAUGAUGAGUCCAGAAAAAAUUGGGAAAAAUAUGGAAAUCCAGAUGGACCUGGUGCAAUGAGUUUUGGAAUAGCAUUACCAUCAUGGAUUGUAGAAAAAGAAAAUUCAGUUUGGGUUUUAGGUCUAUAUGCAUUAGUUUUUAUGAUUGCACUUCCUACUACAGUUGGUAUGUGGUGGUAUAAAUCUAUCAGAUAUUCUGGUGAUAAGGUUUUAUUAGAGACCUCUAGAAUGUAUUAUUAUUUUUUACAUAAGUCAAAUUCUAUACCUUUGAAACGAGUUAUAAUGAUUUUAAGUGCUUCAUUAGAGUUUGAAAAAAAGUAUAAUAGUGAAAUUGUUGAACGAUCUUCAGAUGAAUAUGAAAUGCCUCAACUUAUAAAACAACUUUAUAAUUUUGGAGAAAAGGCACAAAAAGAACCACCACUGUCUUAUAAUUAUUCAAUUAAAGCUAGAGCUUUGAUACAUGCACAUCUGUCUCGCCUGGUACUUAAGGCAGAUACAUUAGAUUUAGAUCGUAUGUACAUAGUUAAGAAAUGUCCAUAUUUAAUACAAGAAAUGGUUGGUGUUGUUUCUCAACUAAUUUUACUAGCAUAUGCUCAAAGAGUGCCUCGUUUGCUUAAUAUUGAAACUAUAGAAAACUGUAUGAAACUUUGUCCCAUGGUGGUCCAAGCAUUAUGGGAGUAUAAAAGUCCAUUUAUGCAAUUACCAUACAUUACUGAGGAUCACAUAAAACAUUUUGACAAUAAAAAGAAACGUGUUAGGAGUAUUCAGCACCUUGCUCAAUUAAAAAAUGAAGACAGGCGAAGCACGUUAAAAUUUUUAUCUGAUAGUCAGUAUGAAGAUUUAGUUAAAGUAUUGGGUAGAAUGCCCUAUAUAGACUUUAAAGUUCGUUGUGAAGUUAUUGAUGAUGAAGCUACAACAGUCUAUACAGCUGGAGCUAUAGUAACCGUAACUGUACAGUUGAAAAGACGAGAUAUGAGGGUAUUGUUUGGAGAUGAUUCAUAUGCAGAUAAACAUCAUAUUGAGCCAGAAAAAAAUGCUGCUAAAGAAACAGAAAAACCAGAUAAGUUAGAGAAACCUAUGUCUAAUGAAGAUGUUAUAGAAAAUAGUGAAAAUGUUGAAAAUAAAGAAUUAAAAGACGAUGAAAAAGAAAAGAAAGCAACUAAGGGUAUUUGGCAGCAAAAGCGCCAAUCAGGAAAAGGUAAAAAAAGUGGAAAUGUCAAAAAACAAAAAGCUACUUUAUCAGCAUCAGCUAAGAAAAAAAUUAAAAAGAAAGAAAAAUUAGAAAAAGCAAAAUUAGGAGAUUCAGAAAUUAAAGAAACUGAAGAUGAUAAAACUGAAGAUAAAGAAAAAUUAAAAGAUAAUAAUGUUUCAUCAGAUGAUGACUCUGAUUCAGAUAAUGAAAGUUCUAGUGAUGCUUCUGGUGACGAAUCAGAGAAAACAGAUGCUGAAGAAACAACAGAUGAUAAAAAAAAGGUUUCAGCAAAUAAUGAUGACGAUGAUGACGAUGAUUGGGAUAAAUUUCAAUCUGGAGCCAAUAAAAAAGAUAGAGUACUUGAAGGCAGAACUAAACAAUCACAUUUGGUCCACUCUCCAUAUUUUCCUGAAGAAAAACACGAAUAUUGGUGGGUUUAUUUAAGUGAUCGGAAAAGUCGUACAUUAUUGACUGUUCCAUAUCAUGUUACUGAACUUGUUGAUGAAGAAGAAAUUCAAUUAAAAUUUACAGCUCCUAGGUGGCCUGGAGUUUAUGUUUUUGCCGUUUGUCUGAGAUCGGAUUCAUACUUUGGUUUUGACCAAAUGCAUGAUAUCAAAUUGGAUGUAAAAGAAGCACCAGAACCUUUAACAGAACAUCCUCAGUGGGAUAUUUCUGAUGAAGAAGAUGACACUAAAGAAGAAGAUAAGCAAAGUGAUAUUUCAGAAUUUACUACAGAUGAAGAUGUCGAAGAUUAAAUAAUACUAACAUAUAAAACCUUUGGGUGACCUGAAAAACAAAGAAGUUCAAAACAAUAACUAGAGUUUAAAGAAUCAAAUAUCACAUUUCAAUAAUAAUCAUAAUCAUAUAUGUGAAAUAAGUCAGUUAUAGCAGAAGAAAAUUAUUAUUUAAUACACAGAAAUGAGAAAUUAAUUAAAAAAAUUAUUUGGAAACAUACCUCAGAUUCAUCACCUUUUUCGAUUUUCUGUACAGAAUCAUCAGUAACUGCAAAAUAAUAUGUAAUAAUUUUAAUGUAAUAUAAUAUUUAGUUAAUAAGUGUGUUUCAAAUUGUUUAAAUGGUUGCUUAUUUUGAUAUAUAUAUAAAAUAUAUUAUGAUUUUUGGUACUGAAAUAAAUUGAUUAACUAAAUGUA